RNAcentral lists this ribosomal RNA (468 nucleotides) under uncultured bacterium. RNAcentral describes it as "partial 16S ribosomal RNA". It matches the Rfam family "Bacterial small subunit ribosomal RNA", at positions 28 to 507 of the family's 1533-position model. The record is from RNAcentral.
GACGAACGCUGGCGGCGUGCUUAACACAUGCAAGUCGAACGGAAAGGCCCUGCUUUUGUGGGGUGCUCGAGUGGCGAACGGGUGAGUAACACGUGAGUAACCUGCCCUUGACUUUGGGAUAACUUCAGGAAACUGGGGCUAAUACCGGAUAGUAGCUCCUGCUGCAUGGUGGGGGUUGGAAAGUUUCGGCGGUUGGGGAUGGACUCGCGGCUUAUCAGCUUGUUGGUGGGGUAGUGGCUUACCAAGGCUUUGACGGGUAGCCGGCCUGAGAGGGUGACCGGCCACAUUGGGACUGAGAUACGGCCCAGACUCCUACGGGAGGCAGCAGUGGGGAAUAUUGCACAAUGGGCGGAAGCCUGAAGCAGCAACGCCGCGUGCGGGAUGACGGCCUUCGGGUUGUAAACCGCUUUCGCCUGUGACGAAGCGUGAGUGACGGUAAUGGGUAAAGAAGCACCGGCUAACUACGUG